GCCUGCUCUGACACCACAGAGCAGCUCACCUACUUCUCAAACUUACUUGUAUUCAACUUGGUACCGCCCCCAUCUGUGGAUGUGGCUUUCUGGCAGCUCGUGAACUUCAGCUUGAUCUUAGGCAAGGGAUCCAUCACAUGCGUCUUAUUCUUAGCUUCUUACAGAUGGACAUGAUGACCUAGCCAGUGUAAACCCAGGCCACCAUGUCCUGAAGCUUCCCAGAGACAUCUCAAAUAUCUGUCUGGAGCCUGUAAGCCGUAACACAGACCAAUAGGACAUCUUGAUAUGGGUGAUAUGGAAAGGGCAGAGUUAUGCUCAAAUAGGGAAGCCAUACUUGCCCAAAUGGACUUGACACUUACACUCCAGGCUUUGAAAGAACCAGCCUGUGGAAACAAAGUAGGAAUUCUUCCACUUUCCUCUUCUGCCCCAAGUCACAGGUGUUGGUCUUGGGCCAGUGAGAUGGCUCAGCCAGAGAGAGGUGUUUGCUGGCGAGCUUUAAGACCUGAGAGCGAGCCUUGGAACCCACGGUGGGAAGAGAACCAACUCCUAAAAGUUAACUCCCUAAAGUUGUCUGCUAACCUCUACACAUGUUCUGUGGUCCUCACAUACAUGAGCACAGACACAGAAAUAAAUAAAAGUGUAAGCAACAAGAGAUUCUUCCAGGAGGCUGGAAAUGUAUCUCCAUGACAGUGCUAAUCUCGGUCUUCUAUCCCCUAAUACCUCAACAAAUUCCUGUAAGAAAGCCGUUCAUGAGAACAGUCACUCACGCACUGGAUGGUUUGUGAGUCCACUGUACAGAGUCUGUCUUUGAGAUAGGUUGUCCUUCCUUUCAUGUCAGGUGAAACUGAAGUGUACUAGGCCAGAAAUCUAAAAGCCCUGUUAUCAUGCCAGCCAGAACGGAUCCUGUAUAUUAGAGUGUAUUGGGUUUUAGAGUUAGCAGGAAUAUGGAAAGGAGUCGCUCAGCAUUGUUGGCACCUGGAGACCAGACAACGAUGAUAACUUAGACAUAAGCUCUCUCGAGUCAAGUGUUAAAAAUAUACGCUGCCCUCCUGCAGUUUUUGGGCCGGUGUAUCUCUGUCCAGUUCUUCCUCUUUGGUCUGAGGAAUGAGUGGUGACAGGUGGGAUUUGGUCAGCAGUUGGGAGGAGUAUGUGCUCUCUUCUGAAAAGGAGAAUUCGGCACAGCAUAUUGAGCAAGCAGCCUUGGCAAUCUAAGUGACACCCAGUGCUCGCCUGCAGCCGGUGUGGCUGCUGCAGGAGCAGUGACAGCAUCAGCCACCACUGAGUCAGAGAAUAGUGGGGUGUGGUGGCCACGCCUUUAAUCCCAGCACUCUGGAGACAGAGGCAGAUGGAUUUUUGUGAGUUUGAAUGAGGCUAUUCUACAUACUUAAUUUCAGAACAGAUAGGGAAACAUAGAGACCGUCUCU
RNAcentral lists this long non-coding RNA (1424 nucleotides) under Mus musculus (house mouse). RNAcentral describes it as "long non-coding RNA chr11:51971692-51973116". The record is from RNAcentral. Lineage: Eukaryota; Metazoa; Chordata; Mammalia; Rodentia; Muridae.